Molecule: long non-coding RNA, 1929 nt
Organism: Bombus terrestris (buff-tailed bumblebee)
Lineage: Eukaryota; Metazoa; Arthropoda; Insecta; Hymenoptera; Apidae
Exons: 4
Source: RefSeq, a predicted model, not a curated record
UUAAGUAAAUUCCAUCUUCAAUCUAUUAUUAACAAUUUUUCGAAUUUUGUUUCUGGAGUGAAUGAUGGCGUAAAAGUCGCGCGUAACAUCCAAGAAGAAAAUCCACGUCUCUGCCAAAUACCUAGCGUCAAGAAAGCAACCACAUUUUUCCCUUGAUUUUGGCAACCAUCCCAGUUUUCACCGGAAUACAUCAGACGCGCAAAACCAAUAUGAGAAACGUCUUGAAUUUCCUCGCAGAUCGUGUAACAUGUAAAAUUAUUUACUUUCCUUUAAAUAUUUCGAUCGAAUCAUUUGAAGGUCAGAUGCUGGAGGAAAGAGAAAAAAUAUAUCGCGUGCGUAAAACAGCAUCUCGCUGAAAAAUUACGGCAAAGAUAUUACGGGUCAUCUCUUAUAUUUCACAAAGUCAAUAACGCAGUUACGUAAUCAGAUAAAGAGCACAAUUGGAAAUUAUGUAACUAAUCUUAUGAUGCGAACCUGCUAGUAAAUGCCUGAAGCGUGCGAUUUCAUUAAUUACGUUCAAUGUACUCAAAUGACAGAGCAGAAAACGGUUCGCAUUAUUCGAUCAAUGGAUCACGCCUAUUACAUCAUAAGAAUCAGUACACGUGGAUCCCUGGCAGAGCAGAUUAUACGUUUACGCAACGAAAACGAGGUGGAACACAUAUCCUAGCAUUUUUUUUUUAGCAUUUCAAAUCACCGUCUACGAUGAUAAUGUCGCAUAUCGUGAUCAAUGUAGAAACUUAUUAAAGAAAGAAGAUAUGUUAUUCACAGUCAAUGGAUCAUCUUGAAGCAAAUAUGAUGGCAAAAAAUAAUAGAGAGGGAAAGAUGUACAUAGUUGAACAUGAACAUAACCAUGUUUUAUUUGUAAUACCCAUAUGAAAAAUACGUAUGUAAGUAGAAGCGUGAAAGGUGAGGCGCGUAACGAGUACACUCGCACGUGACGAUGCUUCCAGUUUGCGUACAACUGCACUUGUAAGGCGAUUAAUAGGACCGAUCGAAUUCACUUAUGAUCUUUAGUUAUUCGCACACCGGUUUCGUCGUAUCCGUGCGUGUGUAACGCGUUGGGUUAUAUAAGAUAACGCGACACAUACACCUACAGCCAGUCACAAAAGUCCGCAUACACCUCUUAAAUUUAAGAGCAUCAAUAUCUUUUAGCAUCAAAUCUUAUAUUAAAUGUAUGACACAUAUUUAAAAAAUAAAAUAAAGAAUAGAAGAUGCAAUGCCUCACAAGAAUGCAUACGCUUAUACUUACAUAAAAUUAUAGAAAAAAGUAGACUUCGUAAUGUAUUAAUACUCCGUAAGUCUUACAGUCUUCCUGGUAUUGAUAAAGUUAAAUAUUUCGUAAUUUCUGAUACAAUUCUAUGUUAAAAUUUUUAUAAGCUAAAUAUUUACAUUUUUUUAAUACCUUCUGAAAAUACGUUAAUGUAUUAUGGAAACACAAAACUCGUAAAGCGUAUGUAAACUUCCAUGACUGAUUUGAAUUUCUUUCGCAGAAGAGAAAAGAAACUUCAACUCAAAUGUGAUCGAAUAAAAUGUGAUUUUACCGAAAACAAUAGUAAAAAAAGGAUGAAGGAAGAAGAAAGAAAAGAUAAGGAACGUAGAAACAUUGUUUAUUAUUUGGAUACAGAACUAUAAUAUGAAGAAUCUCUAUUUUGCGUUUUCAAGAGAGUAAAAAAAGAGAAAGAAAUAAAACACAAUGAGUGAUUAUAGUAACAAAUAGAUUCACGCGAUACGAUAUGUCACAAGAAUUGAAAACGUUGCUAAAAUACUACAAUCGUGUACAACACGUAUCCUAUUCUCUCACCUAACUCUGAAUUCUCUUUCGUCAAUCGUAUGAGUUUAAAUCUAUUAAAAUCAAGAUUUCAAUCUUGGACAGUUUUUCAAAUCUAAAAUAAUUCGAAGUUUUCUUAUCAUAAUUCAAUCAAAACGAUU